CUGCUGCCUUCCGUAGGAGUUUGGACCGUGUCUCAGUUCCAAUGUGGGGGACCUUCCUCUCAGAACCCCUACGCAUCGUCGGCUUGGUGGGCCGUUGCCCCACCAACUACCUAAUGCGCCGCAUGCCCAUCCGUGACCGGGGUCGCCCCUUUGGCCGGCAGGGGAUGUCCCCUCCUGGCAUUAUGUUGUAUUAGGCGGGAUUUCUCCCGGUUAUCCAUCUGUCACGGCCAGGUUGCAUACGUGUUACUCACCCGUGCGCCGGUCGCCGGCGG
This 272-nucleotide ribosomal RNA is filed under the name uncultured bacterium. RNAcentral's name for it is "partial 16S ribosomal RNA". The record is from RNAcentral.